UCCAGAGUGACUCUACAUUUUAUUUAGUGAAGGAAAAAAAACGUCCAGGUGAGAGGUAACUACUACUUCAUCGUUGCAUCAGUCUCACUCAUGCAGUUUUGAGUUGAGACAACCAGCUUGAAGCUGUUACCUGUAGGUGGUGUCGUGAACACUGCAGUGUUAUGGAGGGCAGGGGUUUUGACACAGGUUGGCAGCAGAGGCCGAAGUAUUUUCCACUUUCCAACCCCGUGGACGAUAUACCACCUGGCUGACUUCGACUCACCCAACCUGGGACGGUUGAUCUUCAGGGCCUCCUGGACUCAGAGCAGCGUAGGAGAGAUCUGGAAGUCAGUCUGGCUCGGGUCGAAAGUGCUCUGCAGAAACAGGCUCCGACUGCUCCAGAGAAUGGGCCGAGGGAGCCGGCAUGCACAACCCCAGAUACUUGUUUUGAAUCUUUGGCAGAUCAAACAACCAGAAACUCCAUCCCAGACUUAUCAGGGAAUGUCUACAUCCCACCAUGUGGUGACCUUUACAGAAGGUAAUGAAUAACUGGUGCUUCUUGAUCAGUGCAGUGGAUCAUUGGGCUCCUGAGUGGCGCAGCCGGCUAAGGCACUGCAUCUGUGCUAGAGGCGUCAUUACAGACCCUGGUUUGACUCCAGGCUGUAUCACAACCGGCCGUGGUUGGGAGUCACAUAGGACGGCGCACGAUUGGCCCAGCGUCAUCCGGGUUAGGGUUUGGCCGGGGUAGGCCGUCAUUGAGCGAGACAAACUUGAGCAUCUGCUGGAGGAGUCUAGGGCCUAGCAGGGCCUGGUGGAGCAGGUAAGGGAUGCCUCAGAGGCCCGUAUGGAAGCCCUCCACUCCCAGCUAUAUUAGGAACGCUUCAGCUUCCAGGAGACACACAGAGAGAGACUGGCCACACAGGCAGAGCAACAUGGCAGCAAGCAGGUGGAGAAUUGGAAGACCAGACCAACUAAACUGGUACAGGGAUUCACACCCAAAAUGGAUUCAGGUGGUUCGUUCUACACUUCGUAUUUGUACAGAAGCAUGUAAUCUUGCCAGACGUCUCGGUAGUAUCUAACCCAGGCCUCACCUGAUAAGGCUAACAGAAAACUGAAAGGGGGUGUGAACCAGUAGAAGUCAGGUUUUACCAAUCAUCACACCAGUUGUGAGUAGCCACACAACAGUUGUCUGUAUAAUAAUGCCACAGUAAAGACAUAUACUAUUUUGUGUAACACCACUAUGUUGGCUGAUGAUCUGCAGAUGAAUAAGUCCCUGUAAAUGGAGGUGGUGUCUCUCAGACAGAGGCUGGGGUCUGCAGAGGAGUGACCAACCUGAUGGAGAGUGACAGGCACCUACUCAGGGUUCUCCUAGCGGCACCGGAGACAGAGCGGGAGGAGCUGCUUCAACAAGGACACCCCUCAGCCCUUGGGUAAGGAACCCCCAGCCUCUAAUAUUGGUGCACUUCGAGGGCUGAAAGAAUCAGAUGGAUAAAAUCAAUAUGGUUCUACUUAGCUCUUUUAUAGGCUGGGGUAGAAUGUCCCCCGUAUUACUGCCUUACACCUAUCCAAACCUUAUGGUCGUCAUACGUGCAAAGAGAGUAUGGGUGGAUUUGGGAUGGAAUCAGUAUCUCUAACUUCAAUCUUGAGGUAAUGGAGAAUUUUAUUUUCUCAUUGUUUUCACUCUUUACAUCAGAGUGCUGAUAGCUCCAGAACACGGAGAAACAGUCAGACUUCUAACGGAGGAACAAAAACCAGUGGUUUGUCAGUCCAAUUGGAAAUGGUCAGACUUAUAAAGGACGAGCCAGAAGCAUGGGUUUGUCAGUCCACAUCUUUUUGUCUCUUAGGAGCACUUGGGAAACGAAAGUGGAAAUCUCUGGAAAGGAGGAGAGGGUGAGGGAGGAGAGUGCCGUGUAUGAAAUGGAGGAACAAGAUGAGGAAGAGAGAGCGGAAGGGAAUAAUGUGUGUUAUUCAUCUGCAGUCAAAAUUCAGUGAGGACUUAAGAUCCAUGAGGUGACCCACUCUAGGCCUGGCCCACAGAAAGAAAUAAAGGAAGAGAACCUGGUAACUGCCUCUUUGGGAGUCCUUUCCUACAGCACCAUGUCACGUUGAAGCGGUCGAACAUGUGGCAGACUGAUGUUUCCUUUCAAACAUACCUCUCCUCCAAACUCCACUUCAGCAGUUCCCAAACUUUCAUUUAACAUAUAAAAAUGUUAUAUAAUAUAACAAGCAUAUAUUUUUUCUAAACCUGGGAUAUUAUUAAGCCAUGGUAUUUAUUAUACUUCCAGUACUUUGUUAAAAUAUCACUUUAGUAAAGUUCAUGCAACCUGAGAACCAUUUUUAUGCCAAGAUGCUACUUUUUGCAGUUUACUGUGCUACAUGCUUCACCAUCCAGUAUCAUGCCAACACAUGCUGAAUAGACAAGCUAUAGACAUACCUAUGAGUUAUGUGUAUUGUCGAUUUCUGAGGAUUCACUGGCUUAGAAUACUGCUGAUCAAAGAUAAUUCUAGACAGUCUCUGCCUCUGGUCUGUGAGGGGAAAGAGGGGAAUCUGGAGAGCCCAUUCUCUAACAGCUGUGCUCAAAUCUGGCUAUGUAUACAUUAUAACAACCUUAUGUAACAGCAAGCUUGUUACAGCCACAAAGCCCACGACCAAUGUCCAUUUCUUCAUGUAACACCCAAUUACACUGGUUGACACAGAGUGCCAUUGUCUUAGUCUGAGGACUCUGACAUAUUCUUGUUUAUUGUUGAGGCUGGUGAGUUUUGAUUUCUGGCUUAAGCUAAUACUAAUCCCUCUCUGAGACUAUUUUCUUUGGCCCUGAGCUUGUGGUCCACGGUGCACUGCCUUUUACUGCCCUGGUCCCCGAGAACACGGGAUAUGCAGACUGGGAAGACAUGGUUGGAAUACCGCAGGGCUAGACAAUUUCUCUCACCGAUAUGACACUGUCAUUAUGAAAGGACCAAUCAGAGCUGGGUGAUGAUGUCAUUGUGAAGGGUUAAGACAGAACUACGUUUUAGGAUGUAAAGAAAGCACUCCUAGAUAGCAGUAUUUUUCUUUGAAAAAUAUGUAAAGACAGUUAUUUUGUAUUUAUAUUAUUAUCAUAAUAUAUGCCAUUUAGCAGUUGCUUUUAUCCAAAAUGACUUAAGUCAUGCGUGCAUACAUUUUAAGUCUGGGUGGUCCUGGGAAUCAAACCCACUAUCCUGAUGUUGCAUGCACCAUGCUCUACCAACUGAGAUACUUCAUAUUUUCCUCUGUUCUUUUCACUUCCAAGUACACUGCUUACUCAGGAAUAGGUGUUACAUAAUGUUAUUACAUUCAUACUGACCAAUCCUGGCACUUUAUUCUUGGAGCAUACUGGACUAAUUUCCCCCUACAGUUUAGCUGAUCUUGCACUAAUUUUAUUUGUUGCAACUGAGAGGUAUGUGCCCAAAACCAUGUACUUAUGGCUGUCUGGCUGAUGCAAUGUUGCAUGACUCCACACUGGCACAGACCGCACAGACAGUCCUUCUUGAUUGAGGAAGCUGGAAACUCCCUACUCACUAACACUCUCACUUUAUUCCUCCAUCUUUUUCUCUGUUAUUC
This is a long non-coding RNA of Oncorhynchus keta (chum salmon), 3558 nucleotides long. RefSeq lists it as uncharacterized. The record is from RefSeq and is a predicted model, not a curated record. The transcript is spliced from 3 exons. NCBI's taxonomy places the organism in Eukaryota, Metazoa, Chordata, Actinopteri, Salmoniformes, Salmonidae.